RNAcentral lists this ribosomal RNA (346 nucleotides) under uncultured eukaryote. RNAcentral's name for it is "SSU rRNA". It matches the Rfam family "Eukaryotic small subunit ribosomal RNA", at positions 594 to 945 of the family's 1831-position model. The record is from RNAcentral.
AUAGCGUAUAUUAAAGUUGUUGCAGUUAAAAAGCUCGUAGUUGGAUCUCGGGUCCAGGGUCGCGGUUCGUUUUGCGACGAUACUGCCCGUCCUGACCUACCUCCCGGUUUUCCCCCGGUGCUCUUCGCUGAGUGCCUCGGGUGGCCGGAACGUUUACUUUGAAAAAAUUAGAGUGCUCAAAGCAGGCAGUUUGCCUGAAUAACCGCGCAUGGAAUAAUGGAAUAGGACCUCGGUUCUAUUUUGUUGGUUUUCGGAACUUGAGGUAAUGAUUAAGAGGGACAGACGGGGGCAUUCGUAUUACGGUGUUAGAGGUGAAAUUCUUGGAUCGCCGUAAGGCGAACUACUG